RNAcentral lists this ribosomal RNA (459 nucleotides) under uncultured bacterium. RNAcentral describes it as "partial 16S ribosomal RNA". It matches the Rfam family "Bacterial small subunit ribosomal RNA", at positions 338 to 795 of the family's 1533-position model. The record is from RNAcentral.
CCUACGGGUGACAGCAGUGAGGAAUAUUGGUCAAUGGGCGGGAGCCUGAACCAGCCAAGUCGCGUGAGGGACGACGGUCCUAUGGAUUGUAAACCUCUUUUGUCGGGGAACAAAGGCGCCCACGGGUGGGCGGAUGAGUGUACCCGAAGAAAAAGCAUCGGCUAACUCCGUGCCAGCAGCCGCGGUAAUACGGAGGAUGCGAGCGUUAUCCGGAUUUAUGGGGUUGAAAGGGUGCGUAGGCGGACAGUCAAGUCAGCGGGAAAAAUGCGGUGCUCAACGCCGUACAGCCGUUGAAACUGGCAGUCUUGAGUGGUCGAGAGGUAUGCGGAAUGCGUGGUGUAGCGGUGAAAUGCGUAGAGAUCCCGCAGAACUCCGAUGGCGAAGGCGGCAUACCGGCGCCAUACUGACGCUGAGGCGCGAAAGCGUGGGUAGCAAACAGGAUUAGAUACCCUGGUAGUC